This 215-nucleotide long non-coding RNA is filed under the name Anas platyrhynchos platyrhynchos (common mallard). Its description in RNAcentral is "lncRNA (ENSAPLG00000024519.1)". Lineage: Eukaryota; Metazoa; Chordata; Aves; Anseriformes; Anatidae. The record is from RNAcentral.
CACCUGGUUUGUUCUUCAUUUUGCAAAUAGGAUACACCUGAAAAAUGGAGUAUUUAAGGAGCCUGUGAUCCAUUAUUCAUAAACCCAAACCCGCUUGUGCUGGAGUCUGCCAGCUGGGCACUAUGGUCUGGAGGAGGAGGUGGUGUGCAGGAGCAGUGAGGACCAAAAGAACUUGGUUUGCAGCAGAAUGUCUCUUCAAGCCAGUGGACAAUUGA